GACGAACGCUGGCGGCGUGCCUAAUACAUGCAAGUCGUGCGGACCUUUUAAAAGCUUGCUUUUAAAAGGUUAGCGGCGGACGGGUGAGUAACACGUGGGCAACCUGCCUGUAAGACUGGGAUAACGCCGGGAAACCGGGGCUAAUACCAGAUCGUUUUUUCCUCCGUAUGGAGGAAAAAGGAAAGGCGGCUUCGGCUGCCACUUACAGAUGGGCCCGCGGCGCAUUAGCUAGUUGGCGGGGUAACGGCCCACCAAGGCAACGAUGCGUAGCCGACCUGAGAGGGUGAUCGGCCACAUUGGGACUGAGACACGGCCCAAACUCCUACGGGAGGCAGCAGUAGGGAAUCUUCCGCAAUGGACGAAAGUCUGACGGAGCAACGCCGCGUGAGUGAAGAAGGCCUUCGGGUCGUAAAACUCUGUUGCCGGGGAAGAACAAGUGCCGUUCGAACAGGGCGGCGCCUUGACGGUACCCGGCCAGAAAGCCACGGCUAACUACGUG
RNAcentral lists this ribosomal RNA (499 nucleotides) under uncultured bacterium. RNAcentral's name for it is "partial 16S ribosomal RNA". It matches the Rfam family "Bacterial small subunit ribosomal RNA", at positions 28 to 507 of the family's 1533-position model. The record is from RNAcentral.